AUUUGUCUGGUUAAUUCCGAUAACGAACGACACCUUAACCUGCUAACUAGAUUCUUCUAUACUAUAGAUGAUAUCUUCUUAGAGGGACUAUGUAAUACAAAUACAUGGAAGUUUGAGGCAAUAACAGGUCAGUGAUGCCCUUAUAUGUCCUGGGCUGCACGCGUGCUACACUGAUGCAUACAACAAGUGCCUAACCAGACAUGGUAUGGCAAUCUCGAAUAUGCAUCGUGAUGGGGAUAGAUCUUUGCAAUUAUAGAUCUUGAACGAGGAAUUCCUAGUAAGUGCAAGUCAUCAUCUUGCAUUGAUUAUGUCCCUGCCCUUUGUACACACCGCCCGUCGCUCCUACCGAUACCGGGUGAUCCGGUGAACCUUUUGGACUCAUUUGGGAAAGAUAAGUAAACCAUAUCACCUAGAGGAAGGAGAAGUCGUAACAAGGUUUCCGUAGGUGAACCUGCRGAAGGAUCA
This 465-nucleotide ribosomal RNA is filed under the name uncultured ciliate. RNAcentral describes it as "SSU rRNA". It matches the Rfam family "Eukaryotic small subunit ribosomal RNA". Lineage: Eukaryota; Ciliophora. The record is from RNAcentral.